AUGCUGCACCUCUUUCUUUCUUUGCCACAGCAGCAAGAAGCAGCCACACAAGCAGUAGUAGCUCGACAAGCUUCCAGGAACAGCACAAGGCAGCAGCAGCAACAGUUCCUCCUCUAUUCAGCAGCACCAAUAGCAGCAGCUCCCCGCCGCAGCCUGACUCGUACGCAGUCCAAAUCCACCGCCGCCUUCUUCCUCCUAUUCUUCCCGCCGCAGCACCCUCCUCAGUCGCCCCCUGCGCAGCUAGCCACCUCAGGGACACGAAGCAGGACAAGAGGAAGCAGCUCCCUCCCUGCCACGUCGCAGCUCCUCGAGCCUAGCCGCGCCACCACCGCACACACCACAGCAGACCCGCCGCCAUGCACAUGCACGCAGCCUCAUUGA
This 381-nucleotide ribosomal RNA is filed under the name Triticum aestivum (bread wheat). Its description in RNAcentral is "partial small subunit ribosomal RNA". Lineage: Eukaryota; Viridiplantae; Streptophyta; Magnoliopsida; Poales; Poaceae. The record is from RNAcentral.